This 246-nucleotide ribosomal RNA is filed under the name Escherichia coli. RNAcentral describes it as "partial 16S ribosomal RNA". It matches the Rfam family "Bacterial small subunit ribosomal RNA", at positions 1 to 241 of the family's 1533-position model. The record is from RNAcentral. Lineage: Bacteria; Pseudomonadati; Pseudomonadota; Gammaproteobacteria; Enterobacterales; Enterobacteriaceae.
UUAAAUUGAAGAGUUUGAUCAUGGCUCAGAUUGAACGCUGGCGGCAGGCCUAACACAUGCAAGUCGAACGGUAACAGGAAGCAGCUUGCUGCUUCGCUGACGAGUGGCGGACGGGUGAGUAAUGUCUGGGAAACUGCCUGAUGGAGGGGGAUAACUACUGGAAACGGUAGCUAAUACCGCAUAACGUCGCAAGACCAAAGAGGGGGACCUUCGGGCCUCUUGCCAUCGGAUGUGCCCAGAUGGGAU